RNAcentral lists this long non-coding RNA (2700 nucleotides) under Homo sapiens (human). RNAcentral's name for it is "HSALNT0109192". Lineage: Eukaryota; Metazoa; Chordata; Mammalia; Primates; Hominidae. The record is from RNAcentral.
UUUUAAACUAACCCUGCUUAUUCCUGUGAACCAACCAGCAGUCUCCAACUGCAGCUCAGAAGAAACAAAAAGAGAUGGGUAGUAUAAAAAUCUGGAUAAUAUUCUAGUUCUGGGAAAUUAUCCUGCAGUUUCUGCCAGGUGAUGGGGGUAAAUGGGGUGCCCAUAACCUGGAGGUUUCUUUUUUUGGGAAAAUAAGACCAAGGGAGCUCACCAAAGCCAAGCCCCAUGCACCCAAAUCUUAGCAGGUGUAACUAUAGCCACCAGUUAUCUGGGCAUGCUGGUAGCCUUGGAAUUUUUGAGCUCUCCUUACCUUUACCUUUUGUUUUGUUUUGAUACAUGUCUUCUAAUAACCUGGUUUGUCUCUUCCUGCCUUUAGGCCAUUGAACUCCAAACAAUCAUGCAACUAGAGCCUCAAAUGAUGGCCCCCUUUUACCAGAGACCCUUAGAUAGGCCUCUGAGGGAGAUCUGACUGCUGUUAUUUGAAAACAGCACCCCCUGUCAGCAGAAAGCAGUUAAGGUGAAGAGCUAUUUUCCUGAUGUCCUAAGAAUUUUAUUCAAUUAAUGUUAUAGGUGCCACUAGAGGAGCUGGAAGGUGUUCCUGGUCUUUUGCAAAAGAAAGCUUUCUUCUCAAAUCAAUGCAAAAUCUCCUUCUCUUCUAACUAUCCUAGAGCUGUGGGGAGGAGGCAGAGAGUGUGUGGAUUUGAAAGGGCUUCUCGACCUCUAGGUAAAAAGAAAGAGCUUAGAUAUUAACAUUGUAAUUACAUCAAUUAGAUGCUAACUUUAUUUGGUUUUCAAAAAUAAUCAGGCCCCUGCUAAUUGUGUGUAUAGAGAAAGAAAUGAGUCCACAUUCUUUGUAAACACUAAGUACACUUUUUUGUUCUCUAUCAAUGAGCAGCAGGCAGCAUGUGGAUCUCAGAUAUCUGAAGACAGGGCAUAUGAGCUGAUUAAAUGGGCUGGUAGGAAAGGUCUGAAUUCAGAGGUUAGCACUGCCAACCCUCUGUUCCUCCAGUCCACCCCCUGUAACCAGCUCCCACUGGCUUCAUCACGGCUGCCCAAUUUCUUCCUACUCCAGUGUUUCUCAACCCUUUAAAUCAAUGCCAACUUUUCAUAAAUACAAACAUCUUAUUCACACUUUCCCCAGAAAUUCUAACACGUUCCUCAGGAUUAGGGGAGUGGAAACUUCAGUUAGGAAACUCUGUAUUUUCUUUGUAACCCAGCAGCAAAAACAAUGUGGUUGUGUUUUGUUUUCUGAAGUUGCCAUUAUAAAAAUAAUAGUUUUGUUAUGUUUUUAUAAGAUAAAACUAAAUUAUAAAAUUGAACAUGUCUUCUCAAAUUUUUCACUUGCCUCCAACCACCCUCCACUUCCCAUAGAUUCUAGUAUUUCUCUAAGAGCCCAUUCCUCAAGUUAAAAAUUGUUGCUCUAAUUUCUACAUCAUGACCAGGACAUGCUGUAUAAUUUGUGGGGCCUAGUUCAAAAUGAAUAUGCAAGGUCCCUCUUCAAACAUUAUUAAGGAUUUCAAGAUGGCUACAGUAGAGGAUUAAACCAAGGCUGGGACCUUUCUAAGCUUGGAGUCCUGGGUGACUGCACAGAAUACAUGCCACAAAGCUGUCCCUGAUCAUGACUUUUUAGCUUCUGCUAUUCCUGUCAUUGACUUCAUCUGUGUGUUUCCUAAUUCUGAUUCCCAAGAGCAAGAAUCGGAUUGGCUAAGAUAAGCAUUUCAUUCCAGAAGUUUUACUGGUUGCUGGCAGGCAUAUUCAUUGGAGAGGUCCCUUGGUCAGUCAACUAUGUCAGAACCAAACAGUCGUGUGUGAUCAAGGUGGGGGAUUUGAAUGGGAGUAGAGAAUGGGUCUACUACUACAGUACAUGGCCACCAAUGUAGCCAUGAGAGUGGACGGGGCAGUUUUCUUAGGAGUGGACAUGGGUAGACAGGCAAUCACUGACACUGAAUACAAAAUAUAAAUAUACGCAUUUCCAAUUUGAGCCUGAUGUCUGUGUAAAACGGAGUAAUAAUAUUUCAGAGGCUAGUUUAUGGGGGAUAGAUGAGAUAGUGACCUAAACAAAUGGAUGUAAAACCCCAAGAAAUCAUUAUUACCAUUCAACUAAGGGAGUGCAAACAUAGUGGAACCUGAUUUAAUAUCUCAAAUAGUCCAGCACUCAAAAAUAGGCUGGUAACACAUAGGCCAUCAGGGUGUUGUCUUGUGGUGCAUGCAGCAGGAUGACUAUUACUGUGAACUAAGCAACACAGAUGCCAUCUUCUGAAGACAAAUAGACACAAAGGAUUGUGUCUUUGUUCAUAUAUACAAAGAAAAUUGGCACUAGAACUGGAUGAGAGCCAAGGGACAGUCUGUUUGAUAGGCUGUGGCUUGUGAUAGUCCUAAUCUGUUGAUGAAAUAAUGUGUUUCCUUCUGGAAAAAAGGAAUUUUCUAACGUUCCCCUAAGAAAGGUUUCAGCUGCCCUCAGCUCUGUCAGGGACUAGAAGUGAUUGUCCUGUUCUGGGUUAUUAUCACUUUGAUCACACCAAUUCCCCUUUUGGGCUUAAAAAACUCAGUCUCUUUCUGUCUCUCUCUCUCUCUUUUUCUCUCUCUCUCUUUUUGGAGGAUUUUUUUCGAAUCUGUAUAUCUUUCUAGUUUAACUAGAUACAGAUCUAGUCAUGGGUUUUUACCCCCAGGCUCUCCCUUUUGUCAUCUUUUAUCCUCCUC